Molecule: ribosomal RNA, 201 nt
Filed under: uncultured soil bacterium
Lineage: Bacteria
Description: partial 16S ribosomal RNA
Rfam family: Bacterial small subunit ribosomal RNA
Source: RNAcentral
AGAUUGAACGCUGGCGGCAUGCCUUACACAUGCAAGUCGAACGGUAGAGUAGCAAUACUCGAGAGUGGCGAACGGGUGAGUAAUAUAUCGGAACGUGCCCAGUCGUGGGGGAUAACGUAGAGAAAUUUACGCUAAUACCGCAUACGAUCUACGGAUGAAAGCGGGGGACUCGCAAGACGCCUCGCGACGUAGUUGGACGGC